GUUGGGUAGGGGAGCGUUCUGUAAGCCUGCGAAGGUGGCCUGUGAGGGUUGCUGGAGGUAUCAGAAGUGCGAAUGCUGACAUAAGUAACGAUAAAGCGGGUGAAAAGCCCGCUCGCCGGAAGACCAAGGGUUCCUGUCCAACGUUAAUCGGGGCAGGGUGAGUCGACCCCUAAGGCGAGGCCGAAAGGCGUAGUCGAUGGGAAACGGGUUAAUAUUCCCGUACUUGGUGUUACUGCGAAGGGGGGACGGAGAAGGCUAUGUUGGCCGGGCGACGGUUGUCCCGGUUUAAGCGUGUAGGUGUGUGUUCCAGGUAAAUCCGGUUCACUUUAACACUGAGGCGUGACGACGAGGCACUACGGUGCUGAAGCAACAAAUGCCCUGCUUCCAGGAAAAGCCUCUAAGCAUCAGGUAACAUCAAAUCGUACCCCAAACCGACACAGGUGGUCAGGUAGAGAAUACCAAGGCGCUUGAGAGAACUCGGGUGAAGGAACUAGGCAAAAUGGUGCCGUAACUUCGGGAGAAGGCACGCUGACACGUAGGUGAAGUGAUUUACUCACGGAGCUGAAGUCAGUCGAAGAUACCAGCUGGCUGCAACUGUUUAUUAAAAACACAGCACUGUGCAAACACGAAAGUGGACGUAUACGGUGUGACGCCUGCCCGGUGCCGGAAGGUUAAUUGAUGGGGUCAGCGCAAGCGAAGCUCCUGAUCGAAGCCCCGGUAAACGGCGGCCGUAACUAUAACGGUCCUAAGGUAGCGAAAUUCCUUGUCGGGUAAGUUCCGACCUGCACGAAUGGCGUAAUGAUGGCCAGGCUGUCUCCACCCGAGACUCAGUGAAAUUGAACUCGCUGUGAAGAUGCAGUGUACCCGCGGCAAGACGGAAAGACCCCGUGAACCUUUACUAUAGCUUGACACUGAACAUUGAGCCUUGAUGUGUAGGAUAGGUGGGAGGCUUUGAAGUGUGGACGCCAGUCUGCAUGGAGCCGACCUUGAAAUACCACCCUUUAAUGUUUGAUGUUCUAACGUGGACCCGUGAUCCGGGUUGCGGACAGUGUCUGGUGGGUAGUUUGACUGGGGCGGUCUCCUCCUAAAGAGUAACGGAGGAGCACGAAGGUUGGCUAAUCCUGGUCGGACAUCAGGAGGUUAGUGCAAUGGCAUAAGCCAGCUUGACUGCGAGCGUGACGGCGCGAGCAGGUGCGAAAGCAGGUCAUAGUGAUCCGGUGGUUCUGAAUGGAAGGGCCAUCGCUCAACGGAUAAAAGGUACUCCGGGGAUAACAGGCUGAUACCGCCCAAGAGUUCAUAUCGACGGCGGUGUUUGGCACCUCGAUGUCGGCUCAUCACAUCCUGGGGCUGAAGUAGGUCCCAAGGGUAUGGCUGUUCGCCAUUUAAAGUGGUACGCGAGCUGGGUUUAGAACGUCGUGAGACAGUUCGGUCCCUAUCUGCCGUGGGCGCUGGAGAACUGAGGGGGGCUGCUCCUAGUACGAGAGGACCGGAGUGGACGCAUCACUGGUGUUCGGGUUGUCAUGCCAAUGGCACUGCCCGGUAGCUAAAUGCGGAAGAGAUAAGUGCUGAAAGCAUCUAAGCACGAAACUUGCCCCGAGAUGAGUUCUCCCUGAGACUUAGAGUCUCCUGAAGGAACGUUGAAGACGACGACGUUGAUAGGCCGGGUGUGUAAGCGCAGCGAUGCGUUGAGCUAACCGGUACUAAUGAACCGUGAGGCUUAACCUUACAACGCCGAAG
RNAcentral lists this ribosomal RNA (1737 nucleotides) under Salmonella enterica subsp. enterica serovar Rubislaw. Its description in RNAcentral is "bacterial LSU rRNA". It matches the Rfam family "Bacterial large subunit ribosomal RNA", at positions 1223 to 2925 of the family's 2925-position model. Lineage: Bacteria; Pseudomonadati; Pseudomonadota; Gammaproteobacteria; Enterobacterales; Enterobacteriaceae. The record is from RNAcentral.